This is an unclassified non-coding RNA of Papio anubis (olive baboon), 148 nucleotides long. It matches the Rfam family "Metazoan signal recognition particle RNA". From Rfam's summary of the family: The signal recognition particle (SRP) is a universally conserved ribonucleoprotein. The record is from Ensembl. NCBI's taxonomy places the organism in Eukaryota, Metazoa, Chordata, Mammalia, Primates, Cercopithecidae.
GCUGGGCAUGGUGGUGCAUGCCUAUGGUCCCAGCUGCUUGGGAGGCUGAGAUGGGAGGAUCGCUUGAGCCCAGGAGGUGGAGGUUGCAGUGAGCCAUGAUGGCACCACUGCACUCUAGCCUGGGCAACAGAAUGAGACCCUGUCUCUC